CUACGGGGGGCACCAGUGGGGGAUAUUGCACAAUGGGCGAAAGCCUGAUGCAGCAACGCCGCGUGAAGGAAGACGGAUUUCGGUCUGUAAACUUCUAUCAGCUGGGAAGAAAAUGACGGUACCAGACUAAGAAGCCCCGGCUAACUACGUGCCAGCAGCCGCGGUAAUACGUAGGGGGCAAGCGUUAUCCGGAUUUACUGGGUGUAAAGGGUACGUAGGCGGUCGCUUAAGUCAGAUGUGAAAGCCCGAAGCUCAACUUCGGGACUGCAUUUGAAACUGGGUGACUAGAGUACAGGAGAGGAAAGCGGAAUUCCUAGUGUAGCGGUGGAAUGCGUAGAUAUUAGGAAGAACACCAGUGGCGAAGGCGGCUUUCUGGACUGUAACUGACGCUGAGGUACGAAAGCGUGGGGAGCGAACAGGAUUAGAUACCCGCGUAGUC
Molecule: ribosomal RNA, 439 nt
Filed under: uncultured bacterium
Lineage: Bacteria
Description: partial 16S ribosomal RNA
Rfam family: Bacterial small subunit ribosomal RNA
Source: RNAcentral